CAGCAGCCACGGUAAUACGUAGGGUGCAAGCGUUGUCCGGAAUUAUUGGGCGUAAAGAGCUCGUAGGCGGUUUGUCGCGUCUGCUGUGAAAACUGGAGGCUCAACCUCCAGCCUGCAGUGGGUACGGGCAGACUAGAGUGCGGUAGGGGAGAUUGGAAUUCCUGGUGUAGCGGUGGAAUGCGCAGAUAUCAGGAGGAACACCGAUGGCGAAGGCAGAUCUCUGGGCCGUAACUGACGCUGAGGAGCGAAAGCGUGGGGAGCGAACAGGAUUAGAUACCCCCGUAGUCUCUGUCUCUUAUAA
Molecule: ribosomal RNA, 301 nt
Filed under: uncultured bacterium
Lineage: Bacteria
Description: partial 16S ribosomal RNA
Rfam family: Bacterial small subunit ribosomal RNA
Source: RNAcentral